Cynara cardunculus var. scolymus (artichoke) is the source of this 390-nucleotide long non-coding RNA. RefSeq lists it as uncharacterized. The transcript has 3 exons. Lineage: Eukaryota; Viridiplantae; Streptophyta; Magnoliopsida; Asterales; Asteraceae. The record is from RefSeq and is a predicted model, not a curated record.
GCUUAUACACCCACCUAAGAUUGAAAUGGAGAAAAAGGGUGAAUCUAAAAUUCCCUACAAGAUUCUACUAGCAUUUUCUGGCCUGAAGCAGGCUUUGACAACUAACCUUGGAUAUAAUCGGAGAGUUUCCGAGUGUCGAGAGGCUGCAAAGAUCGUUCUAAAGUAAGAUUCAGGGAUUUAUGACGUUCCACUUCGCUGCCAACUAUUCAAUUUCAUGACAAAAACUAUUUUGCAUGUGUACUUUUUACAAGGCAGCUGGGAAAGAAGUUGAGCCUAUUUUAUCUAACGUCGAACGACAAGACUAUACGACUCACAAGUCCAAAUUAGAAGCAGAUCUAGCUAGAAGAGCAAAACACUACUUUUCUGAGAACAUGCGGGUUAUUAAAGGUU